RNAcentral lists this ribosomal RNA (253 nucleotides) under uncultured bacterium. RNAcentral's name for it is "partial 16S ribosomal RNA". It matches the Rfam family "Bacterial small subunit ribosomal RNA", at positions 524 to 776 of the family's 1533-position model. The record is from RNAcentral.
UACGAAGGGGGCUAGCGUUGUUCGGAAUUACUGGGCGUAAAGCGCGCGCAGGCGGUCUUCCAAGUCAGUGGUGAAAGCCCGGAGCUCAACUCCGGAAUUGCCAUUGAAACUGUUAGACUUGAGGAUGAGAGAGGUGAGUGGAAUUCCCAGUGUAGAGGUGAAAUUCGUAGAUAUUGGGAAGAACACCGGUGGCGAAGGCGGCUCACUGGCUCAUUACUGACGCUCAGGCACGAUAGCGUGGGGAUCAAACAGG